Molecule: ribosomal RNA, 226 nt
Filed under: uncultured bacterium
Lineage: Bacteria
Description: partial 16S ribosomal RNA
Rfam family: Bacterial small subunit ribosomal RNA
Source: RNAcentral
GCGUUGUCCGGAUUUAUUGGGCGUAAAGAGCUCGUAGGCGGCUUGGCAAGUCGGGUGUGAAAGCUCCAGGCUCAACCUGGAGAUGCCACCCGAGACUGCUAUGGCUAGAGUCCGGUAGGGGAUCACGGAAUUCCUGGUGUAGCGGUGAAAUGCGCAGAUAUCAGGAGGAACACCGGUGGCGAAGGCGGUGAUCUGGGCCGGCACUGACGCUGAGGUAGCGAAAGCG